This 206-nucleotide unclassified non-coding RNA is filed under the name Hevea brasiliensis (rubber tree). Lineage: Eukaryota; Viridiplantae; Streptophyta; Magnoliopsida; Malpighiales; Euphorbiaceae. The record is from RNAcentral.
GGAUGGAGCAGGAGAGAUCCGGCAGGAGAGAAGACUCCGUCAAACCUCCUAAAACUGCCCAUCACGGCGGCGCUGUCACCGGCAAAUCCAGUAAAAAAGUCUAUCCGGGCACCAUAUUUGGGGUUCCGGCGACCUCUAAUUCUUGAAAACAGGGCUCCUCUGGCUUUUACUCUCUGAAUGGAAAUUCAUGUCAGAGUCGGACGUUU